UACCGGAUAACAACAGAUGAUGCCUAUCAACUGUUUAAAAGAUGGUUCUGCUAUCACUCUUGGGAUGGGACCUGCGGUGCAUUAGCUAGUUGGUAGGGGUAACGGGCCUACCAAGGCGAUGAUGCAUAGCCGAGUUGAGAGACUGAUCGGCCACAUUGGGACUGAGACACGGCCCAAACUCCUACGGGAGGCAGCAGUAGGGAAUCUUCCACAAUGGACGCAAGUCUGAUGGAGCAACGCCGCGUGAGUGAAGAAGGUUUUCGGAUCGUAAAGCUCUGUUGUUGGUGAAGAAGGAUAGAGGUAGUAACUGGCCUUUAUUUGACGGUAAUCAACCAGAAAGUCACGGCUAACUACGUGCCAGCAGCCGCGGUAAAAU
RNAcentral lists this ribosomal RNA (376 nucleotides) under uncultured Lactobacillus sp. RNAcentral's name for it is "bacterial SSU rRNA". It matches the Rfam family "Bacterial small subunit ribosomal RNA", at positions 167 to 526 of the family's 1533-position model. Lineage: Bacteria; Bacillati; Bacillota; Bacilli; Lactobacillales; Lactobacillaceae. The record is from RNAcentral.